Molecule: non-coding RNA, 2028 nt
Organism: Lepisosteus oculatus (spotted gar)
Lineage: Eukaryota; Metazoa; Chordata; Actinopteri; Semionotiformes; Lepisosteidae
Source: RefSeq, a predicted model, not a curated record
UUUGUAAUAGUAACUGUUGUACCAAUAGUGAUUUUCUGUCACCUGUUUUUGCCUCAAUCUAUAGUACAGAAAGUGUGGGAUAUAUAUAAUUUGUUACAGAAAACUGGCGUUCAAAAAUGUAUAUUCGAGAGUGAUUAUAGUAGUGUCAAGCGAUUGUGUAUUGAAACCAACAAUAAAAGCGAACCAGUGUAAAGCGUGUAAUUUCUUUGUUUUAGUUUUGUUUUAAGCGAUAGCAACGAUCGUGUUGCUACAGCAAACUCGCUCUUAUUCCCGAGUACUGUAAACUUACAAUUUCCUUAAGCCUUCAGGCUACUGAAUUUGACCUGUUUAGCGCAGAGACACAUUGAGCAGCUCGCGUGCUCCUUGCGGCUGUCGGGACAGAAGAAUGUUACUAAAUUGUAAACAGUAUACUGUAGCUGUGUGGGAAUUAAAAGGAAACUCCUGCCGGCCUCUCACACACAUGUGAAAUAAAUCAGGAAAUCUAUGUCGCGACUUCGCUGCUGCUUUUGUCUACGGAUGAUAUGUCGCUCGUGAGAAACGUUCAGGAUCUUUUAACUGAAAGUAAUCAACUUGCUCUGCAGUGAUCUCGGCAGCUGAAGUAACGCAUCGAGCAAACGAAAGAACAAAAGCAUUUCUGGUGUGUAAAUAAUUCAAGAAUACAAAUCUGAUGACAUCUUUUAUGUAAAGUUCAGUUAAUGUUUACGGUUAGGCAAGCGUCGUAGAUUAAAGGAUUUAUGAUUAUGGGGAAAAAAACAUGGGGCAUCAUAGCGUUCUAAACAUCCAAAAUCUUCUGAGCAAGUGACUGCAGGCUGCCCUUGUGCUCUUGAAGCUGACAGCAGCACGUAGAGGAUUUCCUGUGUUCGGCGCGGAAGAAUCGCGGUUGCUCCAGUAGGUUGUGUGUUUGGCUGAAUUUGAGGCGAUUUCCUGUGCUGGCGGAGUGAUCUUAGCUGCGCCUCUCUUCAAUGCAAGUCAAUGUGAAUCUGCAGCUCCGGAGAACAUGGCGACUUCACUGCAUGAGGGACCCGCUAACCAGCUCGAUCUGCUUAUCAGAGCCGGAUCGUCCGACCAAUCGGCUGUGAGAGAUGUUCGAAAUCCGCCACAGACCCAAUAGCUGUGCGUGGUGUGAGAGGCGGGGAAGCGCCGGCUGGCCAAUGGGAGUCUGGGCGGGGGAUGAUAGACAGGUCGCUGCGAGAGCGUCUGCGGAGGGAACUGGAGGGAAAGAGUGUAAACACGGAAGUCAGAAGGGACAGCACUACUUUUUGCAGAACCGCUAUACAGGAUGCAAUUAAAUAGUACCGUUUUAAUUACCCAAUUUUUAGAGAUUGAAGACUAUUUAUGCAACUGUUCUCCAUCGUAUAUUUUCUUUUGGCUUUACAUUGAUGUUAUUCUAAUGAAGAGUUUUAGUACAGCUGUUUUUUACAUGCACAUUUUUAGGAUAGUUGACAAAAACAUCGUUAUACGCUGUGUAAAUAUUAUUGACUUACAAUGUCCAAUAACCUGUUACAGAGAAACUGUCCUUUGAAUUUUUAAAGCCGCACUAGAUCAAUGUUUACACGGUACCUAUUUUUAGAGCGUUAUCUUUUUUCUAUCUUUUUCCACUUCCAGCAGUUAAAGAGUCUCCAGUGGCUCUUGCAGUUUUUUAACACGCUUAGAGUAGCCUUAGUUUCCUGCUCCUUUAAUCGUGGCACGUUCUUCAGUUACUUCUGCCAUUCAUGAGUUGAAACGACAACGUAGGUGUGAUUGGGGUAGAGUGAGGUGGUGUCUAAUGACUCGUUUUUUUAAAACUGCAUUUUGCAUUUUAUUUUUUGUGCCCGAAGUCAAAGUCAACGGUUUCCGCAGACGACCCAAUCACUUUUGUGACCGUUUUUGUGAAUUAAGUGCUUCAGAUGAAGAACAUCAGAGCAGUCCUGUCUUCUUUUCCUGCUGCUUCUGCUUGAUUUCCAUAAUAAAACUGAAAUUUUAAACCUUUCAUCAAUAUGUCAUCACUGAAGUACUAUACCUUAUUAAAAAAUACUUGUGACUUUAAAA